Long non-coding RNA from Pezoporus flaviventris, 336 nucleotides. RefSeq lists it as uncharacterized. The transcript has 3 exons. Lineage: Eukaryota; Metazoa; Chordata; Aves; Psittaciformes; Psittacidae. The record is from RefSeq and is a predicted model, not a curated record.
CACAGACCCGUUGGCUGGGCCUGUGCUUCUGCAGCAAACUCCAGACACAAGUGGUAAGGAAGAAAAUGACUCUUCCCUCCACGAACUGCUUGCUAAGUCAGAAGAAGGCAGCCUGGGCGUGAUUUACAGCCAUGAUUUACGUCUCCUUUCCAUGCCGUGGAUGCUUGUGCACUCCCCUUGAAGCAAUCUAAGCUGAGCAUGAUAUGAAAAAGGAGAGACUGCGUCGUAUUUCUGUCACGCUGCUUGUCAGACAGAUCCAAAAGGCAAACUCUGGCAUGAGAUGGGAAGUGAAGCACCGUGUAUGAUCUUGUCAUGAGAGCCUGGGAAGCAUCCAGC